GGGGAUUGGAGGGACAGGGAAAGCAGUUAGAGUCCAGAGAAAUAAUUGUAGGUUGAACUCACUGCUCCAAUGUUUUGUAUGGCUCCUCGCUUGACAUGGGCAAGCAGUAUCCAGAGAUUACCAAGUAAUCGAGUGAUAAUGUUCCAUAUCUUCUGCUCGACAGAGAGGUGAUUCCAUACCUUCAUGCAAAGCUCAGUAUGGAAGCAGUAUUUAUACCAAGGGAGUUAAUUUGAUUAUAUCAGACUGAGGAAAUGGGGCUUGAGUAGCUUAUCAAUUUUAUCAACCUACGAUUUAGUGACCCUGGG
This 305-nucleotide long non-coding RNA is filed under the name Setaria viridis. RNAcentral's name for it is "long non-coding RNA (SVIR_LNC008105)". Lineage: Eukaryota; Viridiplantae; Streptophyta; Magnoliopsida; Poales; Poaceae. The record is from RNAcentral.